Molecule: ribosomal RNA, 683 nt
Filed under: uncultured bacterium
Lineage: Bacteria
Description: bacterial SSU rRNA
Rfam family: Bacterial small subunit ribosomal RNA
Source: RNAcentral
AGAGUUUGAUCCUGGCUCAGGACGAACGCUGGCGGCGCGCUUAACACAUGCAAGUCGAGCGAGAACCAGUCCUUCGGGACUGGGGAAAGCGGCGAACGGGUGAGUAACACGUGGGUAAUCUGCCCUCGGCACUGGGAUAGCCCGGGGAAACCCGGAUUAAUACCGGAUAGCCUUUCGAGCCUUCGGGCUCGUCAGAAAAGGUGGCUUCGGCUUCCGGCUGAGGAUGAGCCCGCGGCGGAUUAGCUUGUUGGUGAGGUAAUGGCUCACCAAGGCUCCGAUCUGUAGCUGGUCUGAGAGGACGAUCAGCCACACUGGGACUGAGACACGGCCCAGACUCCUACGGGAGGCAGCAGUAGGGAAUCUUGCGCAAUGGGCGAAAGCCUGACGCAGCGACGCCGCGUGCGGGAAGAAGGCCUUCGGGUUGUAAACCGCUUUCAGGAGGGACGAAGCCACUCGGGUUAAUAGCCCAGAGGGUGACGGUACCUCCAGAAGAAGCCCCGGCUAACUACGUGCCAGCAGCCGCGGUAAUACGUAGGGGGCAAGCGUUGUCCGGAUUUAUUGGGCGUAAAGAGCGUGUAGGCGGCCAGAUAGGUCAGCUGUGAACUCGAGCUCACCUCGAGAUGUCGGCUGAGCCAUCUGCUAGAGUCGGAGAGAGAUGAAUCCGGUGUAGCGUGAUGCGUAGA